UCCUUUCUAAUAAUUUAUUUCAGGUCAAAUCUACAUCUUUCUUUUCUCAUCACACCAGCUCUAUAAAACAGUUCUUAUUGUUCAUUUAUGUCCAUUUUUAAAAUCACAGCAUCCACAAUUGUAUGGCGGACUAAUAUUUUUUUUUAAUUACGUCAUCUGAGUUCCUCAUCUCAAGGUCUAUUAGGGAUCCUGACCCAGAUACGUUAACACGGAAU
Molecule: long non-coding RNA, 215 nt
Filed under: Mytilus galloprovincialis (Mediterranean mussel)
Lineage: Eukaryota; Metazoa; Mollusca; Bivalvia; Mytilida; Mytilidae
Source: RNAcentral